This 410-nucleotide ribosomal RNA is filed under the name uncultured Lactobacillus sp. Its description in RNAcentral is "bacterial SSU rRNA". It matches the Rfam family "Bacterial small subunit ribosomal RNA", at positions 137 to 525 of the family's 1533-position model. The record is from RNAcentral. Lineage: Bacteria; Bacillati; Bacillota; Bacilli; Lactobacillales; Lactobacillaceae.
UCUGGGAUACCAUUUUGGAAACAGAUGCUAAUACCGGAUAAAAAGCUACUUUCGCAUGAAAGAAGUUUUAAAAAAGGACGGCGUUAAAGCUGUCGCUAAAGGAUGGACCUGCGAUGCAUUAGCUAGUUGGUAAGGUAACGGCUUACCAAGGUGAUGAUGCAUAGCCGAGUUGAGAGACUGAUCGGCCACAUUGGGACUGAGACACGGCCCAAACUCCUACGGGAGGCAGCAGUAGGGAAUCUUCCACAAUGGACGCAAGUCUGAUGGAGCAACGCCGCGUGAGUGAAGAAGGUUUUCGGAUCGUAAAGCUCUGUUGUUGGUGAAGAAGGAUAGAGGUAGUAACUGGCCUUUAUUUGACGGUAAUCAACCAGAAAGUCACGGCUAACUACGUGCCAGCAGCCGCGGUAAAU